AGAGUUUGAUCAUGGCUCAGAUUGAACGCUGGCGGCAGGCCUAACACAUGCAAGUCGAGCGGUAGCACAGGAGAGCUUGCUCUCUGGGUGACGAGCGGCGGACGGGUGAGUAAUGUCUGGGAAACUGCCUGAUGGAGGGGGAUAACUACUGGAAACGGUAGCUAAUACCGCAUAACGUCUUCGGACCAAAGUGGGGGACCUUCGGGCCUCACGCCAUCAGAUGUGCCCAGAUGGGAUUAGCUAGUAGGUGGGGUAAUGGCUCACCUAGGCGACGAUCCCUAGCUGGUCUGAGAGGAUGACCAGCCACACUGGAACUGAGACACGGUCCAGACUCCUACGGGAGGCAGCAGUGGGGAAUAUUGCACAAUGGGCGCAAGCCUGAUGCAGCCACGCCGCGUGUGUGAAGAAGGCCUUCGGGUUGUAAAGCACUUUCAGCGAGGAGGAAGGGCAGUGUGUUAAUAGCACAUUGCAUUGACGUUACUCGCAGAAGAAGCACCGGCUAACUCCGUGCCAGCAGCCGCGGUAAUACGGAGGGUGCAAGCGUUAAUCGGAAUCACUGGGCGUAAAGCGCACGCAGGCGGUUUGUUAAGUCAGAUGUGAAAUCCCCGCGCUUAACGUGGGAACUGCAUUUGAAACUGGCAAGCUAGAGUCUUGUAGAGGGGGGUAGAAUUCCAGGUGUAGCGGUGAAAUGCGUAGAGAUCUGGAGGAAUACCGGUGGUGAAGGCGGCCCCCUGGACAAAGACUGACGCUCAGGUGCGAAAGCGUGGGGAGCAAACAGGAUUAGAUACCCCGGUAGUCC
Molecule: ribosomal RNA, 799 nt
Filed under: uncultured bacterium
Lineage: Bacteria
Description: bacterial SSU rRNA
Rfam family: Bacterial small subunit ribosomal RNA
Source: RNAcentral